AUACGGAGGGUGCAAGCGUUACUCGGAAUCACUGGGCGUAAAGCGCGCGCAGGCGGCUAUUUAAGUUGGAUGUGAAAGCCUACGGCUCAACCGUAGAACUGCAUCCAAAACUAUUUAGCUAGAGUGUGGGAGAGGAUGAUGGAAUUAGUUGUGUAGGGGUAAAAUCCGUAGAGAUAACUAGGAAUACCAAAAGCGAAGGCAAUCUUCUGGAACACUACUGACGCUGAGGCGCGAAAGCGUGGGGAGCAAACAGGAUUAGAUACCCUAGUAGUCC
RNAcentral lists this ribosomal RNA (274 nucleotides) under uncultured bacterium. RNAcentral's name for it is "partial 16S ribosomal RNA". It matches the Rfam family "Bacterial small subunit ribosomal RNA", at positions 523 to 796 of the family's 1533-position model. The record is from RNAcentral.